This is a long non-coding RNA of Hippocampus comes (tiger tail seahorse), 278 nucleotides long. RefSeq lists it as uncharacterized. NCBI's taxonomy places the organism in Eukaryota, Metazoa, Chordata, Actinopteri, Syngnathiformes, Syngnathidae. The transcript is spliced from 2 exons. The record is from RefSeq and is a predicted model, not a curated record.
UGUGCUGGGCCUUUCCGCCAUCACCGUAUCCCAGUGCGACUUUUUCGCCACGCCGCAGUCCCGAGGAGUCCGCGCAGGUGUGUUUGUGGGCUUGGGGCUGAGCGGCGUGGUGCCCACCCUGCACUUUGUCAUCAGCGAGGGUCUCAUCAGGGCCACCACCAUCGGACAGAUAGGCCUUUCCUCAGGGCCUGCCUCUCCUUCGCUCCGUUUCGGUUGUGUUUACCGAACGACGUAAGGCAAGAGCAAGCACGGAAAUACAGGAGACAUUAAAAUUUAUU